CUAGAGAAUGACGAGACCGCCAGGUGGCUUCGGUUGCCUGGGAGAGUCGAGUCCACAAAUAGCGAGUUCAGCGCGCCCACACUUAUCGGCUGUAGACACACAACAGUGAGUGAGAAAAAACGCGUGAGCCUGGCGAGCUGGCCUUGCCGGUUGGCGCGAUGCAGGGGCACGCAAGAGAUGCGUGGGUCUGUAGCUCAGUCGGUUAGAGCACCGUCUUGAUAAGGCGGGGGUCGCUGGUUCGAAUCCAGCCAGACCCACCACGAGGAUCGACAAGAUCUUGGGGGAUUAGCUCAGCUGGGAGAGCACCUGCUUUGCAAGCAGGGGGUCGUCGGUUCGAUCCCGUCAUCCUCCACCAAUCACUUCACAGGGUGGCAAACCACAGCGUCAGGACUGGACGCUGUGGUUUGCCAGUCUCGACUUUGAAAGUCGGCUGUUGUUCUUUAACAAUUCGUAGAGUCGAAUCAGCGUUGCUGGCGGAAAGCUGGCGCUCGUAAAGGGGCGCUCGGCACCGUGCCGCCAGCGACAUUUGAUUGCGUCACCAGACUUCAACUCUGAAAUUCAGAGAAGAAAUUGAAGAACGGCGAAAACGCGUGAUACUCAAUGAAUGCUCGAGUUGUCGAGCAUCUGUCCUUGACGACAUCUGCGGAUGUCAAAGUUAUAG
Molecule: transfer RNA, 661 nt
Filed under: uncultured Burkholderiales bacterium
Lineage: Bacteria; Pseudomonadati; Pseudomonadota; Betaproteobacteria; Burkholderiales
Description: 16S-23S ribosomal RNA intergenic spacer
Rfam family: tRNA (bases 184-257)
Source: RNAcentral